GGUGGCUCAGUGGUAGAGUGCUUGUCUUGUGUGCAUGAGGUCCUGGGUUUGAUUCCUCAGCACCA
RNAcentral lists this transfer RNA (65 nucleotides) under Dipodomys ordii (Ord's kangaroo rat). It matches the Rfam family "tRNA". Rfam says of the family: Transfer RNA (tRNA) molecules are approximately 80 nucleotides in length. Their secondary structure includes four short double-helical elements and three loops (D, anti-codon, and T loops). The record is from Rfam by way of RNAcentral. Lineage: Eukaryota; Metazoa; Chordata; Mammalia; Rodentia; Heteromyidae.